GAGGUAGAUGUUAAGACAAGAUCGCCUAGAUAUACUAGACCGUCUAGAAACUAAAGUUUUGAAGUUUAACAAUAAGUAUUAAACGAAAUAUCUUUUCUUAAAGAGAAGUGCCUACUCAACCAGAAGCAUUUAAGUGUUGAAAACAUAAUGUUUUAUACGAGAAACUAAGCAAAUCGUCCAAAUUUAGGCAAAUGUAGCAACAUCGACGCGUCAUUCAUUCUGACGAUCAUCUCACCAAUAAGAAUAUGAAAUUUUUUUGUCUCUCUA
RNAcentral lists this long non-coding RNA (267 nucleotides) under Vigna radiata. RNAcentral describes it as "long non-coding RNA (VRAD_LNC012162)". Lineage: Eukaryota; Viridiplantae; Streptophyta; Magnoliopsida; Fabales; Fabaceae. The record is from RNAcentral.